ACGUGAUCUGAGUUCAGACCGGAGUAAUCCAGGUCAGUUUCUAUCUAUAAGGAGCUUUUUCUAGUACGAAAGGACCGAAAAAACAUGGCCUAUGCAUGAUACAAGCCAUAUUUAAUAAUUUAUGAUUAAAACUCAAUAAAUACUUAACCUAUUACCCGACUCUAAACAAGAGUA
RNAcentral lists this ribosomal RNA (174 nucleotides) under Hyla annectans (Assam treefrog). Its description in RNAcentral is "partial 16S ribosomal RNA". Lineage: Eukaryota; Metazoa; Chordata; Amphibia; Anura; Hylidae. The record is from RNAcentral.